This 280-nucleotide ribosomal RNA is filed under the name Salmonella enterica. Its description in RNAcentral is "partial 16S ribosomal RNA". It matches the Rfam family "Bacterial small subunit ribosomal RNA", at positions 1 to 279 of the family's 1533-position model. The record is from RNAcentral. Lineage: Bacteria; Pseudomonadati; Pseudomonadota; Gammaproteobacteria; Enterobacterales; Enterobacteriaceae.
AAAUUGAAGAGUUUGAUCAUGGCUCAGAUUGAACGCUGGCGGCAGGCCUAACACAUGCAAGUCGAACGGUAGCACAGAGAGCUUGCUCUCGGGUGACGAGUGGCGGACGGGUGAGUAAUGUCUGGGAAACUGCCUGAUGGAGGGGGAUAACUACUGGAAACGGUGGCUAAUACCGCAUAACGUCGCAAGACCAAAGAGGGGGACCUUCGGGCCUCUUGCCAUCAGAUGUGCCCAGAUGGGAUUAGCUAGUUGGUGAGGUAACGGCUCACCAAGGCGACGA